RNAcentral lists this ribosomal RNA (403 nucleotides) under uncultured bacterium. RNAcentral's name for it is "bacterial SSU rRNA". It matches the Rfam family "Bacterial small subunit ribosomal RNA", at positions 355 to 776 of the family's 1533-position model. The record is from RNAcentral.
UGGGGAAUAUUGCACAAUGGGCGAAAGCCUGAUGCAGCAACGCCGCGUGAACGAUGAAGGCCUUCGGGUCGUAAAGUUCUGUCCUCAAGGAAGAUAAUGACGGUACUUGAGGAGGAAGCCCCGGCUAACUACGUGCCAGCAGCCGCGGUAAUACGUAGGGGGCUAGCGUUAUCCGGAUUUACUGGGCGUAAAGGGUGCGUAGGCGGUUUUUUAAGUCAGAAGUGAAAGGCUACGGCUUAACCGUAGUAAGCUUUUGAAACUGGAGAACUUGAGUGCAGGAGAGGAGAGUGGAAUUCCUAGUGUAGUGGUGAAAUGCGUAGAUAUUAGGAGGAACACCAGUAGCGAAGGCGGCUCUCUGGACUGUAACUGACGCUGAGGCACGAAAGCGUGGGGAGCAAACAGG